CCCUUAGAUGUUCUGGGCUGCACGCGUGCUACACUGAGUGGAUCAGCGGGUCAGGUUGCGCGAAAGCGUUUCCUAAUCUUUAAAUCCGCUCGUGAUGGGGAUUGACGGUUGCAAUUUUCUGUCAUGAACGAGGAAUACCUUGUAAGCGCGGGUCAUCAUCCCGCGCUGAAUACGUCCCUGCCCUUUGUACACACCGCCCGUCGCUCCUACCGAUUGAGUGGUCCGGUGAGGCUUUGGGAUCUGAGCGGAAAGAGCGUUUCGCUGUUUCUGCUCGGAAAACUCAGUCGAACCUUAUCAUUUAGAGGAAGGAGAAAUCGUAACA
This 322-nucleotide ribosomal RNA is filed under the name uncultured eukaryote. RNAcentral's name for it is "partial 18S ribosomal RNA". It matches the Rfam family "Eukaryotic small subunit ribosomal RNA", at positions 1470 to 1796 of the family's 1831-position model. The record is from RNAcentral.